GAUGAACGCUAGCAGCAGGCCUAACACAUGCAAGUCGAGGGGCAGCACAUAAAGUGGUUUACUACUUUUGGUGGCGACCGGCGGACGGGUGCGUAACGCGUAUGCAACCUGCCUCCAACAGGGGGAUAACGGAGAGAAAUUUCCACUAAUACCCCAUAAUAUCAGAAUCGGCAUCGGUUUUGGUUGAAAACUCCGGUGGUUGGAGAUGGGCAUGCGUUGUAUUAGAUAGUUGGUGAGGUAACGGCUCACCAAGUCAACGAUACAUAGGGGGACUGAGAGGUUCGCCCCCCACACUGGUACUGAGACACGGACCAGACUCCUACGGGAGGCAGCAGUGAGGAAUAUUGGUCAAUGGGGGCAACCCUGAACCAGCCAUGCCGCGUGCAGGAAGACGGCACUAUGAGUUGUAAACUGCUUUUACAAGGGGAUAAAUCGGUGUACGUGUACACCGUUGAAGGUACCUUGGGAAUAAGGAUCGGCUAACUCCGUGCCAGCCGCCGCCGUAA
RNAcentral lists this ribosomal RNA (506 nucleotides) under uncultured bacterium. Its description in RNAcentral is "partial 16S ribosomal RNA". It matches the Rfam family "Bacterial small subunit ribosomal RNA", at positions 28 to 523 of the family's 1533-position model. The record is from RNAcentral.